GUUUUCUCCUGUUAAUUUUUUAAUGUCAAGCUUCAAGGAGAUUUGAGGGGUCAGGAAUGCUUGCUCCCCAAUGGUUGGCAUAGUUGGCAGGAUUCUUUAACUCCGUGGAUAUUGCUUGCAACAGUCCACGAAGCAGCUUAGAGAUCCUGGGACAUCUGCUAUAUUGCUGGCAGCAGACAUACUUUCUACAAUCAAAUUCUAAAAUGAAGUCUUUCGACCAGAAGCUAAGUGAAAUUUCCCACCAGGCCCCAGGAACAUUAAAUUUUUUUUUUUUUUGGUGAGCAAUAAAACUAAUUAGGCUUAUUUGGUAUGUGAAAUUACAUGGGAAGCAUUGUCAACAAAGUGAUAUUAAGCCCUGUUAGAUUAUAUUUAUGUGGAUUUCUUAUCUAAAAUUAUGUGAAAUUCCUAGAAAUCUGAUGUCUUGAUAUGUUAUUAACUUUAAGUGUUGUAUGUCACAAAAAUAACCAAAUUUCCUUGUGAGCUGCAUUGUAAUGAACUUUAACCAGAUCCUUCACUGUGCCCAUCUUUAAGUCUUUUAUCAUUUACAGACAGUUUUAUUUUUAUUAUUUUUUCAAAUUUAUUUGUCAGAGAGAGAGUACACAAAGCAGGC
This 610-nucleotide long non-coding RNA is filed under the name Mustela putorius furo (domestic ferret). RNAcentral's name for it is "lncRNA (ENSMPUG00000028914.1)". The record is from RNAcentral. Lineage: Eukaryota; Metazoa; Chordata; Mammalia; Carnivora; Mustelidae.